AUAAAGUUAAAACUUUCAACAACGGAUCUCUUGGCUCUCGCACCGAUGAAGAGCGCAGCGAAAUGCGAUAACUAAUGUGAAUUGCAGGCAUCGUGAAUCAUCGAGUUCUUGAACGCACAUUGCGCCCUGUGGUAUUCCGCAGGGCAUGCCUGUUUGAGCGUCGGUUC
RNAcentral lists this ribosomal RNA (167 nucleotides) under saccharomycete sp. 3AD7. RNAcentral describes it as "5.8S ribosomal RNA". It matches the Rfam family "5.8S ribosomal RNA". Rfam says of the family: 5.8S ribosomal RNA (5.8S rRNA) is a component of the large subunit of the eukaryotic ribosome. It is transcribed by RNA polymerase I as part of the 45S precursor that also contains 18S and 28S rRNA. The record is from RNAcentral. Lineage: Eukaryota; Fungi; Ascomycota; Saccharomycetes.